UUAAGUUCAGCGGGUAUCCCUACCUGAUUCGAGGAGUUCACGUGUCUUGCUCUCUCCCCCGCCCGACAGACGGGCCAGGGCUGGCAGCCUCGCCUCGCACCAGCGCCAAUGCGUCAUAUCACGCUCGGCCACGCGGCAGGCGUCCGUCCCAUGGAUCCAGCGCGGUGGCCGCCUCCUCGGGCACGCCACCGCAGCCAUGA
RNAcentral lists this unclassified non-coding RNA (200 nucleotides) under Helvella sp. Its description in RNAcentral is "partial internal transcribed spacer 2". The record is from RNAcentral. Lineage: Eukaryota; Fungi; Ascomycota; Pezizomycetes; Pezizales; Helvellaceae.